AGCAGUAGCCACGGGAAUGCGAAGGGUGCAAGCGUUACUCGGAAUUACUGGGCGUAAAGCGUGCGUAGGUGGUGGUUUAAGUCCGUUGUGAAAGCCCUGGGCUCAACCUGGGAAUUGCAGUGGAUACUGGAUCACUAGAGUGUGGUAGAGGAUAGUGGAAUUUCCGGUGUAGCAGUGAAAUGCGUAGAGAUCGGAAGGAACAUCUGUGGCGAAGGCGACUAUCUGGGCCAACACUGACACUGAGGCACGAAAGCGUGGGGAGCAAACAGGAUUAGAUACCCCGGUAGUCCCUGUCUCUUAUAA
Molecule: ribosomal RNA, 303 nt
Filed under: uncultured bacterium
Lineage: Bacteria
Description: partial 16S ribosomal RNA
Rfam family: Bacterial small subunit ribosomal RNA
Source: RNAcentral